GCGUGUGUGAAGAAGGCCCUCGGGUCGUAAAGCACUGUCAGGUGGUAAGAAUAGAGCUGUGGUAACGCACAGCCUUGACUCCCACCAGAGGAAGCACCGGCUAACUCCGUGCCAGCAGCCGCGGUAAUACGGAGGGUGCAAGCGUUGUCCGGAAUCACUGGGCGUAAAGGGCGCGUAGGCGGUUUGGCAAGUCUGAUGUGAAAGCCCUCGGCUUAACCGAGGAAGUGCAUUGGAAACUGCUGAACUUGAGUGCGGGAGAGGUAAGCGGAAUUCCGAGUGUAGCGGUGAAAUGCGU
RNAcentral lists this ribosomal RNA (295 nucleotides) under uncultured bacterium. RNAcentral's name for it is "partial 16S ribosomal RNA". It matches the Rfam family "Bacterial small subunit ribosomal RNA", at positions 399 to 691 of the family's 1533-position model. The record is from RNAcentral.